Molecule: microRNA precursor, 58 nt
Organism: Astatotilapia calliptera (eastern happy)
Lineage: Eukaryota; Metazoa; Chordata; Actinopteri; Cichliformes; Cichlidae
Source: Ensembl
UUCGACUCUCGGGACUUGGAGCGUUUCUUGGAGCGCUCCCUGUCUCGAGAUCGCGACC